CGCGCGCUCCCAGGGGAACCAGGGCCACCCCCCGCACGGUGCCUGCCUGUUCACCCUGUCGGACGGAGGGGCCCCGAGCGGCCAUGUGCGGCGCGUGUGGUCCCCUCCCUGGGCUGAGUGUGUGUGACUCCAGCUUGCUGUCCAGCUCCUCUGUCCCGCCUCCGGUCGGGGGUCCAGCCACCCUGGCGACCUUCGGGCAGGAAUCCUCAUCAUCAACGGAGGGCAGAAGAGGUGGGCAGGCACGGCUCGGGGCAGCCCUGGCGUGGUAGCAGGAGCAAAGAAUAACCAGAUCGCACCACGGGACACGUUUAUAACAAAAUCUGUAUCAGCUCAGAUCCCUGCAGCGGUGGGAGAAGCAUGCAGAACCAGCGAGAACGGGUCUGUAGGAGACGCGGGGUCUGGUUUUCCUUGCCUCGGGGCCGGCCAGGAGCCAGUGAUGGUGGACGCAGGCACCACCACCAGACAGAGCAGAAGGAUCGAGGCCUGGUUCACCCAGGUGAACCCUGUGCACACCCAGCGUAGGGACCCAGAGGCGCAAUGGACGGCACUAGGAAAGCAAGAAUGUAGUUGUCACUCUCCUCCCCGACUUCCCCCGAAAGUGAAGCCAUGCCCCAGAGGCCGCAGGGCGGGGCACACGCGGCCUUGCACAUCUGUGUGGUCAGGGCCUAAAAGAAAUCCCGUAGUCAUAGACUGUCCGUUUUCAUGAGCGUGGAGAUUACGGCCUGCAGAGCCCGCACACGGAAUUUUCUGGACCGGUAUCAUGCAACAGCAUCGUUUUCGGCCGGGAGGCAGCAGAAAGGUGACCGGGCACAAUGGGCCCCUGGCCAUGUUUCUGCCCUGCAGACACGAGGUGCCUCGCUCAGCAACACGGCACCAGGGCAGCGAGGGACGGGACGUUUGCACACGGACACGUGCCCAGGGUGACCUGGCGAGGCUGUACCCGAUUCCAGCGCUCACACUCACCCACGCUUCCAGUCCCAGGACUUCGUGCCACAAGCGCUCUCGGAGCGUGUGCCCGCGUGAGGCAAGUUCGCUGGAGGGCUGUUGGCACAGCUGGAAGUGACUUCUGCAAAAGGCAGUCAGAAGGAGCUCAAAUGUCCCGUGGUAUUUUUUGGUUAAAAAAAUAAACUACAAAACCAUCUGCACAAG
Callorhinus ursinus (northern fur seal) is the source of this 1149-nucleotide long non-coding RNA. RefSeq lists it as uncharacterized. NCBI's taxonomy places the organism in Eukaryota, Metazoa, Chordata, Mammalia, Carnivora, Otariidae. The record is from RefSeq and is a predicted model, not a curated record.